RNAcentral lists this long non-coding RNA (1516 nucleotides) under Mus spicilegus (steppe mouse). RNAcentral describes it as "lncRNA (ENSMSIG00000023935.1)". The record is from RNAcentral. Lineage: Eukaryota; Metazoa; Chordata; Mammalia; Rodentia; Muridae.
UUUGGCUUUGGGCUUCCAGGAGUAGUGGAAACGUCUAUAUCUGCUGGAAACCCAGGUUUAGCUUCAGUUAGUUCAAUUAAGUGAAGGCAGAACUCUAGUCCUAGUGCUCUGUGGGGUCACAGGGCAUUGUACCUGCAGCCUGGCCUGGAACCCACCUACCCAGUUUUAAUAUUCUCUUCUCUAUGUUGCGAUGGAGCUCCGUUCUGCUAUGUUAUGAUGGCUGAGACCUCCGGGGACUCCUUAGAACGGAGCAGUUGUUCAUAAUAAAAUUAGUGUCUGCGUACAGCAGAAAGAAAGCCAAAUGUCCUCAGGUCAAAUGUCCUAGGAAGCAGAGGAUGGUGCAGAUUAAUCUACACUACCCACUGCGCAAGGAUAAGGCCAUGAUCAAAUAGAAUGUAAGCCUGGAGGUGGGUUACGGACAAUACAGGAGGAAAUAACAUUAUUUUGUAGGUGAAAGUUACUUGCUCCGAGUUGCCAAACCCAGAGCACUGAUUCCCCUCCAAGGAGAACUCCCUAAGCCAUGUUCUUCUGAGCUUUAGGAGCGCCAGCACCGAUUCACUUGCUUGGUCGGGAUUCGACCUAACUAGGAACUGGCUUUCUGACUCACAGUGUACAUGAAGCUUUGCUAUCAUUGAACAAUUAGUGUUACAUAUGGCCUCUAAUCCAUCUGGAAAUGAUUUUGGUAUGUGAAAGAUGCUAACAAGUAUGAGCCAAAGCAUGACUACCAAGAAAGCCAAGAGAAACCCGGGAAUAACAUUCUUACUGCACAGCCAAGACCCAAUUCAACUGUCUGGGUGUACAGAAUAGCCCUGGCAUCAGUAACAACCCAGCACCAUGGCCAUCGAGGCAAAGGAAAGGUAAUGGAUCUAUCAACACAUGGAGAUGCCCUAGAGAACCAGUCCUCCAGGCUCUUUAGCUAGUGGGAAAUCACUUGGAUUUAGAAACAGGAUCAGAUGAGGAAGGUGAACUGGGACUCAUCAAAGAAAGGGGACACCAGAAAGUUCUCAGAGCUAAGGAACAAACUUCAUAAAACUGGGAAGGAAAGCUAUCUGAGGAAAGAAAUAGGAUUUUGAUUCUGCUGUAAUUUUUGCAAACUAUUUGUCUGUCUGUUUACCUAAGACUUAAACAUGCUUUCUACAUUCUAUCAAUUUCAGUACAUUGACUGUCUGAUAUUUACAUUCUGGCAUUCUUCACUGACUGACCUAUCACAUUGACAGACAUCUUUACUAGUUUUUCUGUGGCCAUUGUGUCUGUGAGCCAUCUCUCCAACCCCUCAUUCUUCUUUUUUCUCUUUUAAAAUAAUCUUAAUUAGGUUUCAGUAUAAAUUUCUUUAAAGAAAUGGAAGGAUUUGGAAUUAUUUAAAUAGCAAAGAUCAAUCAGCCUUUAGAAGAAGCUAAUGGCACUUGUGGCUUCAUUCUUAUGGGAAAAAUAGGCCAGAUGCUGAGUAUCUUUAUUUCAUCCACACAAACUCUGUUUGUAUUUUGUGGUCAUUGGGACUAGUUUGGGUAUAUUGCCU